This 597-nucleotide small RNA is filed under the name Pan troglodytes (chimpanzee). RNAcentral's name for it is "processed transcript". The record is from RNAcentral. Lineage: Eukaryota; Metazoa; Chordata; Mammalia; Primates; Hominidae.
GGUUCCGGGUUCGGCGCGGGGCGGGGGUGUGAAUCCCGAUGGAGCGGCCCGAGGAAGGCAAGCAGUCGCCGCCGCCGCAGCCCUGGGGACGGCUCCUGCGUCUGGGCGCGGAGGAGGGCGAGCCGCACGUCCUCCUGAGGAAGCGGGAGUGGACCAUCGGGCGGAGACGAGGUUGCGACCUUUCCUUCCCCAGCAAUAAACUGGUCUCUGGAGAUCACUGUAGAAUUGUAGUGGAUGAAAAAUCAGGUCAGGUGACACUGGAAGAUACCAGCACCAGUGGAACAGUGAUUAACAAGCUGAAGGUUGUUAAGAAGCAGACAUGCCCUUUACAGACUGGGGAUGUCAUCUACUUGGUGUACAGGAAGAAUGAACCGGAACACAGAACGUUCCUCCUGGCUACACCCCAUUUCUUGCUCACAUGGGUUCCUGCCGUGAAUAGUGUCUGUUGAGUGGGAGUGUUGACUUUGCAGCCUGAGCCCAGCCAUUCCUCAGGAAUACCACUGUGGCCAUGAGCAGCCAAUCCCAAAAUGGCAGCCAAGGAGAAACUGAUGGGGAUGGUUUGGGUUCUACAGGAGAAGAACUUGAGUUAUGGGGAAU